Podarcis lilfordi (Lilford's wall lizard) is the source of this 74-nucleotide non-coding RNA. NCBI's taxonomy places the organism in Eukaryota, Metazoa, Chordata, Lepidosauria, Squamata, Lacertidae. The record is from the annotation of a GenBank genome assembly.
GCAGUUCAGUUGGUCAGAGCGUGGUGGUGAUAAUGCCGAGGUCGUGAGUUCAAUCCCCAUACAGGCCAGCUGCA